AGAUUAAGUUAUUAAGGGCGCACGGUGGAUGCCUUGGCACUAGAAGCCGAUGAAGGACGUUACUAACGACGAUAUGCUUUGGGGAGCUGUAAGUAAGCUUUGAUCCAGAGAUUUCCGAAUGGGGAAACCCAGCAUGAGUUAUGUCAUGUUAUCGAUAUGUGAAUACAUAGCAUAUCAGAAGGCACACCCGGAGAACUGAAACAUCUUAGUACCCGGAGGAAGAGAAAGAAAAUUCGAUUCCCUUAGUAGCGGCGAGCGAAACGGGAAGAGCCCAAACCAAAAAGCUUGCUUGUUGGGGUUGUAGGACACUCUAUACGGAGUUACAAAGGACGACAUUAGACGAAUCAUCUGGAAAGAUGAAUCAAAGAAGGUAAUAAUCCUGUAGUCGAAAAUGUUGUCUCUCUUGAGUGGAUCCUGAGUACGACGGAGCACGUGAAAUUCCGUCGGAAUCUGGGAGGACCAUCUCCUAAGGCUAAAUACUCUCUAGUGACCGAUAGUGAACCAGUACCGUGAGGGAAAGGUGAAAAGCACCCCGGAAGGAGAGUGAAAUAGAACCUGAAACCGUGUGCUUACAAGUAGUCAGAGCCCGUUAAUGGGUGAUGGCGUGCCUUUUGUAGAAUGAACCGGCGAGUUACGAUUUGAUGCAAGGUUAAGCAGUAAAUGUGGAGCCGUAGCGAAAGCGAGUCUGAAUAGGGCGUUUAGUAUUUGGUCGUAGACCCGAAACCAGGUGAUCUACCCUUGGUCAGGUUGAAGUUCAGGUAACACUGAAUG
Molecule: ribosomal RNA, 771 nt
Filed under: Staphylococcus aureus
Lineage: Bacteria; Bacillati; Bacillota; Bacilli; Caryophanales; Staphylococcaceae
Description: partial 23S ribosomal RNA
Rfam family: Bacterial large subunit ribosomal RNA
Source: RNAcentral